UACGGAGGGAGCUAGCGUUGUUCGGAAUUACUGGGCGUAAAGCGCACGUAGGCGGCUUUGUAAGUUAGAGGUGAAAGCCCGGGGCUCAACUCCGGAACUGCCUUUAAGACUGCAUCGCUUGAAUCCAGGAGAGGUGAGUGGAAUUCCGAGUGUAGAGGUGAAAUUCGUAGAUAUUCGGAAGAACACCAGUGGCGAAGGCGGCUCACUGGACUGGUAUUGACACUGAGGUGCGAAAGCGUGGGGAGCAAACAGG
Molecule: ribosomal RNA, 253 nt
Filed under: uncultured bacterium
Lineage: Bacteria
Description: partial 16S ribosomal RNA
Rfam family: Bacterial small subunit ribosomal RNA
Source: RNAcentral